This 253-nucleotide ribosomal RNA is filed under the name uncultured bacterium. RNAcentral describes it as "partial 16S ribosomal RNA". It matches the Rfam family "Bacterial small subunit ribosomal RNA", at positions 524 to 776 of the family's 1533-position model. The record is from RNAcentral.
UACAGAGGGUGCUAGCGUUGUUCGGAAUUAUUGGGCGUAAAGCGCGUGUAGGCGGCCAAGUAAGUCGGAUGUGAAAUCCCUCGGCUCAACCGUGGAAGUGCAUCCGAAACUGCAUAGCUGGAGUCCCGGAGAGGAAGGUGGAAUGCUUGGUGUAGAGGUGAAAUUCGUAGAUAUCAAGCAGAACACCUGCGGCGAAGGCGGCCUUCUGGACGGUGACUGACGCUGAGACGCGAAAGCGUGGGGAGCAAACAGG